UAGUUUUUUUAGAAAUAAAUUUAAUUUACAAAUUUUUAAUUUUUAAUUUAUUUUUUUAAUUUAAAAAUUUAUUAAUUUGAAUAUUUUAAGGGAUAAGCUUUAAAAUAAAAUAUUAAAAAUCAUUGAAUAAUUUAUUUAAAAUGUAUGCAUAGAAUUAGCAAUCAUUUAUAAGUUUGUUAUAAAUUAUUUUAUAAUUUGUAUUAUUUAAUUUUGUUUUCAUUGAAUUUAUAAAAAUUUUUUUAUUAAUUUAAAAAUAAAAAGUAAUAAUGAUCAAAUUAGUAUAUUUAAUUGUAUUGUUAAAAUAUUUUAUAUUGAAAAGUUUAUAUAAAGAACUCGGCAAAUUUUAUUUAUACUCGCCUGUUUAACAAAAACAUGUCUUUUUGAAUUAAAUUUAAAGUCUGACCUGCCCACUGAAUAAUUUUAAAUGGCCGCAGUAUUUUGACUGUGCAAAGGUAGCAUAAUCAUUAGUCUUUUAAUUGGAGGCUGGUAUGAACGGUUGGACGAAGUAUAAGCUGUUUCAUAUAAAUUUAUAAUAGAAUUUUAUAUUUUAGUUAAAAAGCUAAAAUUUUAUUAAAAGACGAGAAGACCCUAUAAAUCUUUAUAUUUAAUAUAAACUAAAUUUUUUUGAUUUAUUUUAUUUUUUUUAUAUUAAUUAUUUUGUUGGGGUGAUAUUAAAAUUUAAUGAACUUUUAAUUUUUUAAAAUCAUUAAUUUAUGAAUUAUUGAUCCAUUAAUAUUGAUUAUAAGAUUAAGUUACUUUAGGGAUAACAGCGUAAUUUUUUUUGAGAGUUCAUAUCGACAAAAAAGUUUGCGACCUCGAUGUUGGAUUAAGGUAUAAUUUUGGGUGUAGCCGUUCAAAAAUUAAGUCUGUUCGACUUUUAAA
This 882-nucleotide ribosomal RNA is filed under the name Anastrepha suspensa (Caribbean fruit fly). RNAcentral's name for it is "partial 16S ribosomal RNA". The record is from RNAcentral. Lineage: Eukaryota; Metazoa; Arthropoda; Insecta; Diptera; Tephritidae.